GACGAACGCUGGCGGCGUGCUUAACACAUGCAAGUCGAACGGAAAGGCCCUGCUUUUGUGGGGUGCUCGAGUUGCGAACGGGUGAGUAACACGUGAGUAACCUGCCCUUGACUUUGGGAUAACUUCAGGAAACUGGGGCUAAUACCGGAUAGGAGCUCCUGCUUCAUGGUGGGGGUUGGAAAGUUUCGGCGGUUGGGGAUGGACUCGCGGCUUAUCAGCUUGUUGGUGGGGUAGUGGCUUACCAAGGCUUUGACGGGUAGCCGGCCUGAGAGGGUGACCGGCCACAUUGGGACUGAGAUACGGCCCAGACUCCUACGGGAGGCAGCAGUGGGGAAUAUUGCACAAUGGGCGGAAGCCUGAUGCAGCAACGCCGCGUGCGGGAUGACGGCAUUCGGGUUGUAAACCGCUUUCGCCUGUGACGAAGCGUGAGUGACGGUAAUGGGUAAAGAAGCACCGGCUAACUACGUG
RNAcentral lists this ribosomal RNA (468 nucleotides) under uncultured bacterium. Its description in RNAcentral is "partial 16S ribosomal RNA". It matches the Rfam family "Bacterial small subunit ribosomal RNA", at positions 28 to 507 of the family's 1533-position model. The record is from RNAcentral.